Molecule: ribosomal RNA, 255 nt
Filed under: uncultured bacterium
Lineage: Bacteria
Description: partial 16S ribosomal RNA
Rfam family: Bacterial small subunit ribosomal RNA
Source: RNAcentral
UGGCGGACGGGUGAGUAAUGUCUGGGAAACUGCCCGGUGGAGGGGGAUAACUACUGGAAACGGUAGCUAAUACCGCAUAACGUCGCAAGACCAAAGAGGGGGACCUUCGGGCCUCUUGCCACCGGAUGUGCCCAGAUGGGAUUAGCUUGUUGGUGAGGUAACGGCUCACCAAGGCGACGAUCCCUAGCUGGUCUGAGAGGAUGACCAGCCACACUGGAACUGAGACACGGUCCAGACUCCUACGGAAGGCAGCAG